GACAGGGGAUGGAAGCGUUAUCCGGAAUGAUUGGGCGUAAAGCUUCUGUAGGUGGCUUUUUAAGUCUGCCGUCAAAUCCCAGGGCUCAACUCUGGCCAGGCGGUGGAGACUACUAAGCUGGAGUACGGUAGGGGCAGAGGGAAUUUCCGGUGGAGCGGUGAAAUGCGUAGAUAUCGGAAAGAACACCAUGGGCGAAGGUACUCUGCUGGGCCGAAAAUGACUCUGAGAGACGAGAGCUAGUGGAGCAAAUGGG
Molecule: ribosomal RNA, 253 nt
Filed under: uncultured bacterium
Lineage: Bacteria
Description: partial 16S ribosomal RNA
Rfam family: Bacterial small subunit ribosomal RNA
Source: RNAcentral